UACGUAGGGGGCUAGCGUUGUCCGGAAUCAUUGGGCGUAAAGCGCGCGUAGGCGGCCCGAUAAGUCUGCUGUGAAAGUCCAGGGCUCAACCCUGGAAUGCCGGUGGAUACUGUCGGGCUAGAGUUCGGAAGAGGAAGUGGAAUUCCUGGUGUAGCGGUGGAAUGCGCAGAUAUCAGGAGGAACACCUAUAGCGAAGGCAGCUUGCUGGGACGACACUGACGCUGAGGCGCGAAAGCGUGGGGAGCGAACAGG
RNAcentral lists this ribosomal RNA (252 nucleotides) under uncultured bacterium. RNAcentral describes it as "partial 16S ribosomal RNA". It matches the Rfam family "Bacterial small subunit ribosomal RNA", at positions 524 to 776 of the family's 1533-position model. The record is from RNAcentral.